GCGUGAUUUAUGGGUGACUACCCAGCGACUAAGAUGUUAAACGGCCGCGGUACCCUAACCGUGCAAAGGUAGCAUAAUCAUUUGCCUUUUAAUUGGAGGCUUGUAUGAAUGGUUUGACGAGAGCUAUGCUGUCUCUAUUAAAAUAAUUAGAAAUUAACUUUUAGGUGAAGAGGCCUAAAUUAAGCUGAAGGGACAAGAAGACCCUGUUGAGCUUUAGUGUGGUUAAGUUACUAAUUUUUUCAUUAUUGAAGAAAAUUGUUUUUUUGAUUCUUUUUUUGUGGGGAUUGAGCACCAUAAAGCGCAGCCGCGGGCAUACUGGUCCCUCAACCUUAGGUGAGGCCUCUUUCACCUUAGAAUUAAAUUUUGAUUAUUUUUGGAGAGGAGGGAUAGCUCACGUGUAACCACGCGAACAACCCCCGCAAUUUAUAGGGAGAGAGCUAAUCGAAAGAUGGGUUGGCGACGUCGCGGUGGCACUAAAAUAUCCAAGGGGUGGAGAAGCUUUACACGGUUGGUCCGUUCCACCCUGAGAGAGCUUUCGUUGUAAAGAGACCCCGGCGGC
RNAcentral lists this ribosomal RNA (559 nucleotides) under Umbonium vestiarium. RNAcentral describes it as "partial 16S ribosomal RNA". The stretch from base 1 to 178 matches the Rfam family "Archaeal large subunit ribosomal RNA", at positions 1961 to 2143 of the family's 2987-position model. The record is from RNAcentral. Lineage: Eukaryota; Metazoa; Mollusca; Gastropoda; Trochida; Trochidae.